RNAcentral lists this ribosomal RNA (421 nucleotides) under uncultured bacterium. RNAcentral's name for it is "bacterial SSU rRNA". It matches the Rfam family "Bacterial small subunit ribosomal RNA", at positions 361 to 773 of the family's 1533-position model. The record is from RNAcentral.
AUAUUGGACAAUGGGGGGAACCCUGAUCCAGCUAUGCCGCGUGUGUGAAGAAGGCCUUUUGGUUGUAAAGCACUUUAAGCGAGGAGGAGGCUACUUAGAUUAAUACUCUAGGAUAGUGGACGUUACUCGCAGAAUAAGCACCGGCUAACUCUGUGCCAGCAGCCGCGGUAAUACAGAGGGUGCAAGCGUUAAUCGGAUUUACUGGGCGUAAAGCGCGCGUAGGUGGCCAAUUAAGUCAAAUGUGAAAUCCCCGAGCUUAACUUGGGAAUUGCAUUCGAUACUGGUUGGCUAGAGUAUGGGAGAGGAUGGUAGAAUUCCAGGUGUAGCGGUGAAAUGCGUAGAGAUCUGGAGGAAUACCGAUGGCGAAGGCAGCCAUCUGGCCUAAUACUGACACUGAGGUGCGAAAGCAUGGGGAGCAAAC